GGUGAGUAAUGUAUCGGAACGUACCUUUCAGUGGGGGAUAACGUAGCGAAAGUUACGCUAAUACCGCAUAUUCUGUGAGCAGGAAAGCAGGGGAUCGCAAGACCUUGCGCUGAUUGAGCGGCCGAUAUCAGAUUAGCUAGUUGGUGAGGUAAAGGCUCACCAAGGCGACGAUCUGUAGCGGGUCUGAGAGGAUGAUCCGCCACACUGGAACUGAGACACGGUCCAGACUCCUACGGGAGGCAGCAGUGGGGAAUUUUGGACAGUGGGGGCAACCCUGAUCCAGCCAUGCCGCGUGAGUGAAGAAGGCCUUCGGGUUGUAAAGCUCUUUCGUCCGGGAAGAAAUCGCAUCAGCUAAUACCUGGUGUGGAUGACGGUACCGGAAUAAGAGCACCGGCUA
Molecule: ribosomal RNA, 397 nt
Filed under: uncultured bacterium
Lineage: Bacteria
Description: bacterial SSU rRNA
Rfam family: Bacterial small subunit ribosomal RNA
Source: RNAcentral